Molecule: long non-coding RNA, 1392 nt
Filed under: Mytilus galloprovincialis (Mediterranean mussel)
Lineage: Eukaryota; Metazoa; Mollusca; Bivalvia; Mytilida; Mytilidae
Source: RNAcentral
GUCCUUUUGUUUUACGUUGAAGAGGCAACAUAUCAUAGUUAUUUUAUGUAAAAGGUUUGUAUUCAUCUUAUAAUACUAUUAAAAUCGGCGCAAAUUCCUCCAGCGUAUUUAAGUUUUAGAAGGAACGGUCCGCCUCGCUGAAUGAUUCAUUCUUUAUUUGUUGAACAGUUCAACACGGAUCUUUCGGUACUUGAAACAAAAUCACAUGUAUUGACUAGUUGUCCAGGGAGUCGUUAUUAAUUUGUCUGCACAAGCUUAUUUCCCCGUACCAGUACUCGGUGAAGACCAUAAAGUCGCACUUUUUUUGAUUUUCUAGCUGAGGAUUUUUUAUAUCGAGACACCCUAAUUAUAAAAGGCAGUGUCAUUGUGACACUGCAUUUUUGGAUGAGAAGUCAAGUUGACAUUUGUAAGCUACAUGUCCCUCACAAAGUUUUGUAAAAAAAAUGCUAUUGGAUCAGGAAUAGAGCUGAAAGAUUUUAAUUGCUCAUAAAAAAAUCGUUGUUUCGGUAAUUUUUCUGCCACUGAAAUAUUUGUUCGUACUUUGGAUCAGAAGGCCAGCCAUGACUGAACUCCAUAUUCUAAUAUUAACUACUGACACUAAUUUAUGAGUUCAUGAUCACAAAUUUACCAAAGCAGGUCCCACGAAUUGAAAUCAAGCCAGGAAUCUCAGAUCAUGACAUUGUCUUUAUUGAAUUCAAACUAACACCAUCUAAGAUAAAACAAACACCAGGAAAUGUGCCGAUUUAUAACAAGGCAAACUGGGAAACAAUGAAAAAGAAAUAAUUAACUUAAAACAUACUAUACAGGAAAAGGAUAAUACACAUACUGUUGAUGAACUGUGGCUAGAAUUCAAAACAAAACUUAAUGAACUAGUCAGUGGGCACAUUCCACACUAAAAGCUAACUACAAAAAAUAAAACCUCAUGGGUAACAUUUGAAACAAGAAAAUUAAUGAAAAAGAGAGACAGACUUUAUAAAAAGAUGAAAAAGUCUGGAAAUGACAACAUGAGAAACAAGUAAAAGCAAAUUAAACAUCAGGUACAAAAACAACUCAGACAAUCAUGCUGGCAAUACAUUAAAAAUAUUGUAACACCAAAACCAGAUGAAAUCAAAUUUUCCAACAUGAAAAAAUUUUGGUCUUAUAUUAAAAGCAUAAAAAACUGACUACAGCGGAAUAACAUCACUUAAGCAGAAUGGGAAACUUGUAUAACUAACACCAAACAAAAAUCUGAUGCACUCAACAGGCAGUUUCAAUCAGUUUUCUCAGAACCAAACAAAAUCACUGCUACUGAUUUUGAAAACGAAUUCGGGUCGAUCCGGCCCCACGUCGAUCCGGCCCAAGUCGGUCCGGCCCCACGUCAAUCCGGCCCAUAUGUAAAGUCGAUCCGGCCCC